AGGGAAAGGCGAAAAGAACCCCGGCGAGGGGAGUGAAAAAGAACCUGAAACCGUGUACGUACAAGCAGUGGGAGCACCUUCGGGUGUGACUGCGUACCUUUUGUAUAAUGGGUCAGCGACUUAUAUUCUGUAGCAAGGUUAACCGUAUAGGGGAGCCGCAGGGAAACCGAGUCUUAACUGGGCGUUAAGUUGCAGGGUAUAGACCCGAAACCCGGUGAUCUAGCCAUGGGCAGGUUGAAGGUUGGGUAACACUAACUGGAGGACCGAACCGACUAAUGUUGAAAAAUUAGCGGAUGACUUGUGGCUGGGGGUGAAAGGCCAAUCAAACCGGGAGAUAGCUGGUUCUCCCCGAAAGCUAUUUAGGUAGCGCCUCGUGAACUCAUCUUCGGGGGUAGAGCACUGUUUCGGCUAGGGGGUCAUCCCGACUUACCAACCCGAUGCAAACUACGAAUACCGAAGAAUGUUAUCACGGGAGACACACGGCGGGUGCUAACGUCCGUCGUGAAGAGGGAAACAACCCAGACCGCCAGCUAAGGUCCCAAAGUCAUGGUUAAGUGGGAAACGAUGUGGGAAGGCACAGACAGCCAGGAUGUUGGCUUAGAAGCAGCCAUCAUUUAAAGAAAGCGUAAUAGCUCACUGGUCGAGUCGGCCUGCGCGGAAGAUGUAACGGGGCUAAACCAUGCA
This 684-nucleotide ribosomal RNA is filed under the name Klebsiella quasipneumoniae subsp. similipneumoniae. RNAcentral describes it as "partial 23S ribosomal RNA". It matches the Rfam family "Bacterial large subunit ribosomal RNA", at positions 506 to 1193 of the family's 2925-position model. The record is from RNAcentral. Lineage: Bacteria; Pseudomonadati; Pseudomonadota; Gammaproteobacteria; Enterobacterales; Enterobacteriaceae.